Long non-coding RNA from Betta splendens (Siamese fighting fish), 1302 nucleotides. Ensembl annotates it as probable endochitinase. The record is from Ensembl. NCBI's taxonomy places the organism in Eukaryota, Metazoa, Chordata, Actinopteri, Anabantiformes, Osphronemidae.
CUUCCCUGUUCCUGAAAAGGUCUAAUUGCUUGGGACAUUCCAACAUUCCCCACCCAGUGCUACGCCCUUUGAGCUGCACCGAUAUAAGAGUGUGUCAGUCACCAUCAGUCACAGACAGGAUACAGAAGCUGCUUCCUUUAUCUUCAACUUUGAGACGCUGAAUCAACAGUAACAACAUGUGCAGGAUGAUCCUGACUGCAGGCCUCUGUUUGAUCAUCGCCAGCUUGGCCAGAACCACCAGUGCUAGCUGUAUCAGCACUAGCACUAAUGGAUGCCCUGCAGGGUUCUGUACUGGGAGGACAGAUGGCAACUACAUCAAUGCAGCCAACCCAAAUUCAUUCUACCAGUGUUCCAAUCAGCUGACCUACAGCACACCUUGCCCAGCAUCAGGACUGGUCUAUAGAGCUCCCUGUGACUGCUGUGACUACCCAAACAACCCAUGUCCUGCCACAAAAACGACAUCUCCUACUACCACUCCCUACGAUCCCUACUGCCAGAACAAGCAAGAUGGCUACUAUUGUUACACAAACGACUACUCCAAAUACUACUGGUGCGUCGGUGGAAGAACCUACAUCAUGCCAUGCCCACAAGGCACGAUCUUCACCCCUAAAGUCAACAACUGUGUCCGUCCUGAAAAUGCUUAAAUACCUGUUGUCUUUGCUCUGGAAUUACUCAGCAAUUUCACCCAUGUAUCAAUAUGUAACAAAACUAUGCUUUUUGUGGAGUCUUGUUGGGCUUUGUUGCUUCUCUGUUCAGGGACAUGUUAGCUAAUUCUGCCACUGAUGGCGCUUGCACUUACUGUAUCUGAUGAAUUAUCGUGGAGAAUAGAAGUGCCUGUUUAUGCUUCUUCAUGCAAACUUAUAUUAAAUCUGGAAAACUCAACACUGUUGCAGAUGUCAACACUUGAACACCGCAGCAGUAGCAAAAGGCUUUAGCCUCAUUCAACAGGCUGAAGCCCUGAAACAUGGUGCCUAGCUCACAGGCACAGGUUGACAAAGCUGCAUGGUUUACUCACCAGUCUCUCCAAAUGAGAAGAAACAAUAACUCAAUAAUGUUAAGCAGUAAUGCCUUUGUAAUGCAUUAGAUAAUGUUUAUUGAAGCAUCGAAGCUCCUCUGAGUGACGCAACACAAAUAGACACUCAAAAAAAAAACAUCAGGCCUAAAACUUUAAAUGUGUAAACAUGUAAAUUUACCAUGUGAUUUUACCACAUAAAUACUAGGUAAGAGGGAACAUUUAAUGUAAAGUCUUUCAGUUAGGUUAGGGUUAUGCCAUUAAAUAAAGGAUUACACAAAGUUAAUGCA